RNAcentral lists this ribosomal RNA (393 nucleotides) under uncultured bacterium. Its description in RNAcentral is "bacterial SSU rRNA". It matches the Rfam family "Bacterial small subunit ribosomal RNA", at positions 29 to 416 of the family's 1533-position model. The record is from RNAcentral.
AACGAACGCUGGCGGCGUGGUUUAGGCAUGCAAGUCGAGCGAGAAAGUCCUUCGGACGAGUACAGCGGCGAAAGGGUGAGUAAUAUAUAGGUAACCUACCUCUUGGACUCGGAUAAUUCCUGGAAACGGGUUGUAAUACGAGAUCGUCCUAUUGGGUCGCAUGGCCCGACUGGUAAAUGGUAGCUCUACUUCUGCCGAGAGAGGGGCCUAUAUCCUAUUAGCUAGUUGGUGAGGUAAUGGCUCACCAAGGCUUUGAUGGGUAGCCGGACUGAGAGGUUGGCCGGUCACACUGGGACUGAGACACUGCCCAGACUCCUACGGGAGGCUGCAGUCGAGAAUCUUCCGCAAUGGGCGAAAGCCUGACGGGGCGACGCCGCGUGAACGAAGAAGGCC